This 400-nucleotide ribosomal RNA is filed under the name uncultured bacterium. Its description in RNAcentral is "bacterial SSU rRNA". It matches the Rfam family "Bacterial small subunit ribosomal RNA", at positions 355 to 746 of the family's 1533-position model. The record is from RNAcentral.
UGGGGAAUCUUGCGCAAUGGACGAAAGUCUGACGCAGCAACGCCGCGUGAGUGAAGAAGGCCUUCGGGUUGUAAAGCUCUGUCGGAAGGGACGAAAGGUUUAUUGGUUAAUACCCAGUAGAUUUGACGGUACCUUUAAAGGAAGCACCGGCUAACUUCGUGCCAGCAGCCGCGGUAAUACGAGGGGUGCAAGCGUUGUUCGGAAUUAUUGGGCGUAAAGGGCAGGUAGGUGGUCUCAUUUGUCUGGGGUGAAAGCCUUGAGCUUAACCCAAGAAGUGCCUUAGAAACGGUGGGACUAGAGUCUUGGAGAGGGUUGCGGAAUUCCCGGUGUAGCGGUGAAAUGCGUAGAGAUCGGGAGGAAUACCAGAGGCGAAGGCGGCAACCUGGCCAAGUACUGACAC